RNAcentral lists this microRNA precursor (115 nucleotides) under Trifolium subterraneum. RNAcentral's name for it is "MIR398 microRNA precursor family". It matches the Rfam family "MIR398 microRNA precursor family". The record is from Rfam by way of RNAcentral. Lineage: Eukaryota; Viridiplantae; Streptophyta; Magnoliopsida; Fabales; Fabaceae. RNAcentral also lists the same sequence under 1 other name.
UUCUAUCUCAGAGGAGUGACACUUAGAACACAAGAUUGAUUGGUUGACACUACAAAAAUUAUUUUGUUUGUUAUUAAUUCCUUUUGUGUUCUCAGGUCACCCCUUUAAGUCAACC